CAUUGUGGUUUUCUAAUGAUUUGAAGCCACUCACCACUUGGAAAACAUUCCACAAUCCUCCCUCUUCCAUUUUCAUCCAAAAAUCGAUGGAUUUUGGCCUAGGUUUUGUGGAUGUCGCGUCAAUAGGCUUCAGGGAUGCACGACGACGAAUGGUCAAUUCCGCAAGCAUCAUCGUCGAUCACCACCAUCAAUCAACUCCUCUUGAGCCUAGGAAAAAACCCCAAAAAAGUUUGGGGGGCGAUGGAGCACCAGAGAAGACGAAUCGAAGUGCACCCAUUUCAAGGGUUUAUGGUGGAUCAAGGCCAUUUCAGGCAUCUUCCUAGCCGAAUUAGACUUUGGCCCAGGAUCUACGGUUGCAAUGCUUUUGAUGAAUGAAGGAGGAAGCUACUACUCUUAUGGAGCUUCUUUGGCAUAAUAGUGAUUAUUUGACGACUUCUCCAAACUUGGCUACUCAGCCUUUCAAAUACAGAGCUAGGGAUGAGAAAUGAGUCAGAUGAGCUAGAAUUGGGAUUGUACUGUUCUAAAUUAUUCGUUUAGAUACCAAUAAAAGAUAUGGUUGCCCAAUUUAGUUUUGCAUUUUCAAUGUCUUAAUCAUUUUCCUUUUA
This is a non-coding RNA of Malus domestica (apple), 605 nucleotides long. The record is from RefSeq and is a predicted model, not a curated record. Lineage: Eukaryota; Viridiplantae; Streptophyta; Magnoliopsida; Rosales; Rosaceae.